UGAGAUUGAUCUGCUCAGAUAACGUGGCGGCAGGCCUAACACAUGCAAGUCGAGCGGCAGCACAAGGGAGUUUACUCCUGAGGUGGCGAGCGGCGGACGGGUGAGUAAUGCCUAGGGAUCUGCCCAGUCGAGGGGGAUAACAGUUGGAAACGACUGCUAAUACCGCAUACGCCCUACGGGGGAAAGAGGGGGACUUUCGGGCCUCUCGCGAUUGGAUGAACCUAGGUGGGAUUAGCUAGUUGGUGAGGUAAUGGCUCACCAAGGCGACGAUCCCUAGCUGUUCUGAGAGGAUGAUCAGCCACACUGGGACUGAGACACGGCCCAGACUCCUACGGGAGGCAGCAGUGGGGAAUAUUGCACAAUGGGGGAAACCCUGAUGCAGCCAUGCCGCGUGUGUGAAGAAGGCCUUCGGGUUGUAAAGCACUUUCAGUAGGGAGGAAAGGGUG
RNAcentral lists this ribosomal RNA (446 nucleotides) under Shewanella sp. '7.5 MW-5'. RNAcentral's name for it is "bacterial SSU rRNA". It matches the Rfam family "Bacterial small subunit ribosomal RNA", at positions 1 to 455 of the family's 1533-position model. The record is from RNAcentral. Lineage: Bacteria; Pseudomonadati; Pseudomonadota; Gammaproteobacteria; Alteromonadales; Shewanellaceae.